ACAAGCGGUGGAGCAUGUGGUUAAUUCGACGCAACGCGAAGAACCUUACCAGGGCUUGACAUCCCCUGACCGCGUAUGAAAGUACGUUUUCACCUUCGGGAGACAGGGAGACAGGUGGUGCAUGGUUGUCGUCAGCUCGUGUCGUGAGAUGUUGGGUUAAGUCCCGCAACGAGCGCAACCUCUACGUUUAGUUGCUAACGCGUGAAGGCGAGCACUCUAGACGAACUGCCGUUGACAAAACGGAGGAAGGUGGGGAUGACGUCAAAUCAUCAUGCCCCUUAUGUUCUGGGCUACACACGUGCUACAAUGGCCGGUACAGACGGACGCAAAGCCGCGAGGUGGAGCAAAUCCUAAAAAGCCGGUCUCAGUUCGGAUUGCAGGCUGCAAUUCGCCUGCAUGAAGUCGGAAUCGCUAGUAAUCGCAGGUCAGCAUACUGCGGUGAAUACGUUCCCGGGCCUU
This 459-nucleotide ribosomal RNA is filed under the name uncultured Pelotomaculum sp. Its description in RNAcentral is "bacterial SSU rRNA". It matches the Rfam family "Bacterial small subunit ribosomal RNA", at positions 925 to 1382 of the family's 1533-position model. The record is from RNAcentral. Lineage: Bacteria; Bacillati; Bacillota; Clostridia; Eubacteriales; Desulfotomaculaceae.